AUUACCUCAGUAACGGCGAGUGAAGCGGUAACAGCUCAAAUUUGAAAUCUGGCCUCACGGUCCGAGUUGUAAUUUGUAGAGGAUGCUUCGAGCAUGGUCUGGCCUAAGUUCCUUGGAACAGGACGUCAUAGAGGGUGAGAAUCCCGUAUGCGGCCAGGUGCCUACGCUCAUGUGAAGCUCCUUCGACGAGUCGAGUUGUUUGGGAAUGCAGCUCAAAAUGGGUGGUAAAUUUCAUCUAAAGCUAAAUAUUGGCCAGAGACCGAUAGCGCACAAGUAGAGUGAUCGAAAGAUGAAAAGCACUUUGGAAAGAGAGUUAAACAGUACGUGAAAUUGUUGAAAGGGAAGCGCUUGCAACCAGACUUGCGCGCGGCCGAUCAUCCGGUGUUCUCACCGGUGCACUCGGCCGUGCUCAGGCCAGCAUCGGUUUUGGCGGCUGGAUAAAGGCCCUAGGAAUGUAGCUCCUCUCGGGGAGUGUUAUAGCCUAGGGUGCAAUGCAGCCUGCUGGGACCGAGGACCGCGCUUCGGCUAGGAUGCUGGCGUAAUGGUUGUAAGCGGCCCGUCUUGAAACACGGACCAAGGAGUCUAACAUCUAUGCGAGUGUUUGGGUGUCAAACCCAUACGCGUAAUGAAAGUGAACGGAGGUGAGAACCCUUAAGGGUGCAUCAUCGACCGGUCCUGAAGUUUACGGAAGGAUCUGAGUAAGAGCAUAGCUGUUGGGACCCGAAAGAUGGUGAACUAUGCCUGAAUAGGGUGAAGCCAGAGGAAACUCUGGUGGAGGCUCGCAGCGGUUCUGACGUGCAAAUCGAUCGUCAAAUUUGGGUAUAGGGGCGAAAGACUAAUCGAACCAUUGACCUGUAGGAACACUACUAGGUGGUUAAGAGGCGGCUAAAAGUGCCGUCUAGUCCCGACGCCGGGGCGACACUGUCAAAUUGCGGGAACAUCCUUAGAGCCUAGACUACCGCAGCCUUCCUGAAAGGGGGGUGCGCACCAGGGUAAUGACCUCGGGUAUGGUAAUAACGUCUAGGAUUGGACAAUCCGCAGCCAAGCCCUACGGACCUCGGUCUAUGGGUGCAGUUCAUCGACUAGAUGGCAGUGGGUGGCAGCAAUGCCGCUUAAGAUAUAGUCAGACCCCCGGGAGACCGGGCGGCAGAACAAAGACCGUGGGGGGCGUCCUCUCUGAGAGCCCUGCGGUCCCGAGUCUGCUGGUGGCAUCGCAGCUUGCUGCGGUGCC
This 1231-nucleotide ribosomal RNA is filed under the name Pseudogymnoascus pannorum. RNAcentral's name for it is "LSU rRNA". It matches the Rfam family "Eukaryotic large subunit ribosomal RNA", at positions 74 to 1421 of the family's 3401-position model. Lineage: Eukaryota; Fungi; Ascomycota; Leotiomycetes; Thelebolales; Thelebolaceae. The record is from RNAcentral.